UACAUGGGGUGCAAACGUUGCUCGGAAUCAUUGGGCGUAAAGGGCGCGUAGGCGGCGCGGUAAGUCACUUGUGAAAUCUCUGAGCUUAACUCAGAACGGCCAAGUGAUACUGCAGUGCUAGAGUGCAGAAGGGGCAAUCGGAAUUCUUGGUGUAGCGGUGAAAUGCGUAGAUAUCAAGAGGAACACCUGAGGUGAAGACGGGUUGCUGGGCUGACACUGACGCUGAGUGCGCGAAAGCCAGGGGAGCAAACGGG
Molecule: ribosomal RNA, 254 nt
Filed under: uncultured bacterium
Lineage: Bacteria
Description: partial 16S ribosomal RNA
Rfam family: Bacterial small subunit ribosomal RNA
Source: RNAcentral